This 468-nucleotide ribosomal RNA is filed under the name uncultured bacterium. RNAcentral's name for it is "partial 16S ribosomal RNA". It matches the Rfam family "Bacterial small subunit ribosomal RNA", at positions 28 to 507 of the family's 1533-position model. The record is from RNAcentral.
GACGAACGCUGGCGGCGUGCUUAACACAUGCAAGUCGAACGGAAAGGCCCUGCUUUUGUGGGGUGCUCGAGUGGCGAACGGGUGAGUAACACGUGAGUAACCUGCCCUUGACUUUGGGAUAACUUCAGGAAACUGGGGCUAAUACCGGAUAGGAGCUCCUGCUGCAUGGGGGGGGUUGGAAAGUUUCGGCGGUUGGGGAUGGACUCGCGGCUUAUCAGCUUGUUGGUGGGGUAGUGGCUUACCAAGGCUUUGACGUGUAGCCGGCCUGGGAGGGUGACCGGCCACAUUGGGACUGAGAUACGGCCCAGACUCCUACGGGAGGCAGCAGUGGGGAAUAUUGCACAAUGGGCGGAAGCCUGAUGCAGCAACGCCGCGUGCGGGAUGACGGCCUUCGGGUUGUAAACCGCUUUCGCCUGUGACGAAGCGUGAGUGACGGUAAUGGGUAAAGAAGCACCGGCUAACUACGUG